CACGUAGGGCGCAAGCGUUGUCCGGAAUUAUUGGGCGUAAAGAGCUCGUAGGCGGUCUGUUACGUCUGCUGUGAAAACCCUGGGCUUAACCCUGAGCUUGCGGUCGAUACGGGCAUGACUGGAGUUCGGCAGGGGAGACUGGAAUUCCUGGUGUAGCGGUGGAAUGCGCAGAUAUCAGGAGGAACACCAAUAGCGAAGGCAGCUCGCUGGGACGGUAUUGACGCUAAGGCGCGAAAGCGUGGGGAGCAAACAGG
Molecule: ribosomal RNA, 254 nt
Filed under: uncultured bacterium
Lineage: Bacteria
Description: partial 16S ribosomal RNA
Rfam family: Bacterial small subunit ribosomal RNA
Source: RNAcentral